This 393-nucleotide small RNA is filed under the name Histoplasma capsulatum. RNAcentral's name for it is "hypothetical RNA". The record is from RNAcentral. RNAcentral also lists the same sequence under 1 other name. Lineage: Eukaryota; Fungi; Ascomycota; Eurotiomycetes; Onygenales; Ajellomycetaceae.
CAGCAUAGUGUGGGAACCACAUCGUGAAGUGUUUGGGAAUCAUCAUCCUUGACUCUUGAAAUCGGGCGCCAUUCGGUGAAACUCAAAUGGAACUGCACUAACCGAUAACUUCUACCCGCUCGCGAAACCAACAGUUUGCACGUUAAAGAUAAUUAUAGAAAACUCUGGCGGCGGUUCACUUGCGCGAAAUUCGAAUCGGGCGAUUCCUUGCUAACAUUCAUGAAGAUCUCAUCAGAUCCUUUUAAAGUCCUUGGGACACACCCACGAGUUCAAUGCCCUCAGAGAGAGCUAGAUUCUUUUCUUAACCGAACCCUUCCUUCCCGUGGAUCCUUAAGGGCACCCUUAUUACUUCCUUUCCUUUGUAAACCUGUUUGUUUUUAUUUCUUUAAAAGG